RNAcentral lists this ribosomal RNA (370 nucleotides) under uncultured eukaryote. Its description in RNAcentral is "partial 18S ribosomal RNA". It matches the Rfam family "Eukaryotic small subunit ribosomal RNA", at positions 592 to 976 of the family's 1831-position model. The record is from RNAcentral.
CAAUAGCGUAUAUUAAAGUUGUUGCAGUUAAAAAGCUCGUAGUUGGAUUUCUGGUCGGAAGCUCCUGUCCUCUGAUGAGCGUACAAGUGCGUCCUACCAUCCUUCUGUUAACCUUUAAGGCUUUCGCGGCUUUCUAGGGGCUCAGAUAUUUUACCUUGAGAAAAUUAGAGUGUUUCAGGCAGGCUAGCGCCGGAAUACAUUAGCAUGGAAUAAUGGAAUAGGACCUUUGCCUCUUCUGUUGGUCAUGAGGCUCGAGUAAUGAUUAAUAGGGAUAGUUGGGGGCAUUAGUACUUAACUGUCAGAGGUGAAAUUCUCGGAUUUGUUAAAGACUAACUUAUGCGAAAGCAUUUGCCAAGGAUGUUUUCAUUAA